This 425-nucleotide ribosomal RNA is filed under the name uncultured bacterium. RNAcentral's name for it is "bacterial SSU rRNA". It matches the Rfam family "Bacterial small subunit ribosomal RNA", at positions 608 to 1029 of the family's 1533-position model. The record is from RNAcentral.
CUCAACUAGGAGAAGUUGCUCAAAACUACCAGGCUGGAGGACGGUAGAGGGAGGUGGAAUUCCCGGUGUAGUAGUGAAAUGCGUAGAUAUCGGGAGGAACGCCAAUAGCGAAGGCAGCCUCCUGGGCCGUUCCUGACACUGAGACGCGAAAGCAUGGGGAGCGAACGGGAUUAGAAACCCCGGUAGUCCAUGCCGUAAACGAUGUGGACUUGAUGUCGGCGGCGUAAUAGUUGUCGGUGUCGUAGUUAACGCGGUAAGUCCACCGCCUGGGGAGUACGAUCGCAAGGUUAAAACUCAAAGGAAUUGACGGGGGCCCGCACAAGCAGCGGAGCGUGUGGUUUAAUUCGGUGCUACACGAAGAACCUUACCUGGGCUUGACAUAUAAGUGGUAGGGAUCCGAAAGGUGACCGACCCCUCGGGGAGCU